GCUCUGGUGCUUUUGAAGAUUUUCAAAUAAAACUCAAAGAUUCAUUGUAUGAUUCUCUCAUAUCUCUCUUUUGUGGUAUUUCUGGAUCCUUACCAAGGCAGUGAUGGUAUAUGCCUUGUCUCAAAAUAUGUAGUAUUUGUGGUAUAAAGCAUAGUGGCAUUGCCUUCUCUCUCACCCUACUCUAAUAAGGCUUUAAAAUCUGGAGCUCAUAGGUGGGAGAUAAAAUAUACAUACUUACAAGACAUUUAUUGCAUAGUCAAACCAUGGAUCCAAAGAAACAAAUCAAUAAGCCAAAUCAAGAUGUGCAUG
This 309-nucleotide long non-coding RNA is filed under the name Sorghum bicolor (sorghum). RNAcentral's name for it is "long non-coding RNA (SBIC_LNC005027)". The record is from RNAcentral. Lineage: Eukaryota; Viridiplantae; Streptophyta; Magnoliopsida; Poales; Poaceae.